GAAUGGAAUAUUCUAGGAGUUGUAGUGUUUCAAACAGAGCUUUGCAAGAACAUACCUGUAUUGGAACACUACAGCUCCAGGAACUUCCUAGUGU
RNAcentral lists this microRNA precursor (94 nucleotides) under Python bivittatus (Burmese python). RNAcentral describes it as "microRNA pbv-mir-1805 precursor". The stretch from base 5 to 88 matches the Rfam family "mir-1805 microRNA precursor family". Lineage: Eukaryota; Metazoa; Chordata; Lepidosauria; Squamata; Pythonidae. The record is from miRBase by way of RNAcentral.